This is a long non-coding RNA of Ictalurus punctatus (channel catfish), 472 nucleotides long. NCBI's taxonomy places the organism in Eukaryota, Metazoa, Chordata, Actinopteri, Siluriformes, Ictaluridae. The record is from Ensembl.
CCUGAUCUCAUCUGACCUCGGAAGCAAAGCAGAGUUGGGCCUGGUUAGUACUUGGUUGGGAGACUGAAUGGGAAUACUAGGUGCUGUAAGCUUUUUAUUUGGAUCAGUGUUUUCAUGGCCUCUGCACAACAUCCUGUUUUGGGAUAAAGGUUGGACACAGGUUUGAAGGGGACCCAAUCAAUCAAUCAAUCAAUCAGGGACUCAAUCAAUCAAUCAAUCAAUCAAUCAAUCAAUCAAUCAAUCAGUCAGUCUUUUGAUUACACUAUUUAAAUAGGCCCCAUUUGGGGUCAGCUUUCGCUUACGGCCAUACCACUCUGAAAAAGCCUGAUCUCAUCUGACCUCGGAAGCAAAGCAGCGUUGGGCCUGGUUAGUACUUGGUUGGGAAACUGAAUGGGAAUACUAGGUGCUGUAAGCUUUUUAUUUGGAUCAGUGUUUUCAUGGCCUCUGCACAACAUCCUGUUUUGGGAUAAAG